AGAAAGAAAGAAAGAAAGAAAGAAAGGAAGAAAGAAAGAAAAAAAGAAAGAAACCUGAGGAGUAGAUUUAGUUUGUAGGAGUUGAUAUUCCAAAUAGAAGACACUAAGUUAGGUACAAACACAGGGUGAUGACAAAGGGCCACAGCACACAGUUUGUAAAGAGGAUCAUAAGGUCACAGAGAAACUGUGCAACAGACAGAAAGCAGAAGUUUCAAAGUCCCAUGAAACAUUCUUGAAGCAGGAGGCACAAAAGGGUAAGAAUCCCAGCAAAGGGAACUUGGAAGGGUGACUCCUGAAUGAGAAAGAAGAGAAGCUCAGAAGUUCUUGACAAAAGUUCUCUGCCCCCAGGUCGGUUCAUGAAGUGAGCUGCUCUCCUGUGCCACAUAAUAUUCUACCCAAAAGCAUGAGGCCGGCCGAGAGACCACGAGACUUGAGCCAAAGCGAAUUGGUUUUUCUCUUCAGUUGUCCCUUUGGAUGUUUUCUCACAACAGUGAGAAAGUGAUUCUAGAGUCUAUAUUCACCAUCUCCAGGUUGGCACGCUCCUGGCUGAACAGCACAAACGCCAGCAGAUCUGAGAUAAGAGAGAUCUCAGAGGCUUGAAAAGACAUGAACUGCCCAGCCACCAAAUACAGCUUUGGAGAGUUCCUUCUAGGCCUCCUUCUCACGGGGCCAAGUAUUUGCUAAAGGUGUGGUUGGAAACAAUUGGUGAUAUUCCCCCCUCUUUGUAUCCUGUAGUUCAACUUGAAGUCUUAAGAGUUUGUUAAACAAAUGAACGCAUGACUUCCCCAGUUUACACCCAAUACCCAGUUUUUCUGAGAAGGGGAGAGAGAUUCCCACAUGCUGCGUCUAUGCUAUUGAAGUGAAAAUCAACACAAAAUGCUGCUCUUUCUUGGCUUCAAGAUUGCUUCCCUUAUCUUUGACCCUGUCCUGCUCUCCCACUUUCAAUCACCCCUUUGCCAUGUGUUUUCUUUCAUGUUACCUCUAAGGGCAAAGCUCAAAAAGUUACUAUGUAACAAGCCUUUACCUCCUUCUCCCUUGUAAAAUAAAACCAUAUCUGCCCCCACC
This is a long non-coding RNA of Psammomys obesus (fat sand rat), 1065 nucleotides long. RefSeq lists it as uncharacterized. NCBI's taxonomy places the organism in Eukaryota, Metazoa, Chordata, Mammalia, Rodentia, Muridae. The record is from RefSeq and is a predicted model, not a curated record. The transcript is spliced from 3 exons.